This is a long non-coding RNA of Alligator sinensis (Chinese alligator), 1761 nucleotides long. RefSeq lists it as uncharacterized. NCBI's taxonomy places the organism in Eukaryota, Metazoa, Chordata, Crocodylia, Alligatoridae. The record is from RefSeq and is a predicted model, not a curated record. The transcript has 4 exons.
UGCGUGGGCGACUGACAGGGCUCCUACACUGUGUGGCUGCACUGCCUGUAUAUGGGAUCCCUGGGAUGGAGUUGAAGGCUGAAGCCUUCGGGUCUUAUUUACACCUGUGUGUAUGCAAUGCUAUUAUACCACACACAGCAGAUCAGUAGCUUUCCAACCCUCCUCCCCCCCGCCCCGCUCUCCCCUCGGGCAUCAAGGAAUUAUACUACCUCCCCACCCUUUCUCCUAUGCGCUACACCCACGUCCAUAGCUUAUACCCGGGCUUUAGACAUACCUUUAUGGAUCUCAGGAGUCAAAAGCACCGCUGUAGCUAAAAGGGAGAGCUCUUUCUUAUUUUGUUUUCGGGAGAGCUUUGCAGCAUAUAACCCUCAAUUGCGGUGUAACUUGUAAAACAGCUUGGGAAAAGAAUUGAGGGGAAUGCAACCCUUAUGAAAGCAAUAAAGCAUGUUUUCAACCUGGAGGUAGAUGUAGGAUAAGGACAGCUAUUUAGAUGUGGGAGCAUAUGCAAAAAUGAGGAGAACCGAAGAAAUACAUAAAACAUGAAGCAGGCAGAGCUUGUGUCUGGAUGUGAAACGCCUGUGAUGAUUGUUUUUAAUUUAAGCUAUUUAACAGCCCUUUUGAAAGAAAGCCAGGAUGUUCAUUUCCAAUGACUUACAAAGGUGAUGGGUGAAGGCAGCCUGCUAGGCUGUAGCAUCACUGAAUAGCAUUAAACUGUGUCAUGGAUCAGUGUCAUGAUGACGUAUGACACAACACAGGGGAUCAUUAUGAGUGAAUAGCAUAAUAGACAUGGAGAGUGGACCAAAGUCUCCUUGACAAUUCUUACUCAUAUGUCUUGGGGGGAUAGUUUUACAUUUGUGAUCCGUUUAUUUGGAGCCAAUUCUGAGAGAAAGACACGAAGCACAUGACUGAAUCAUCCUAAAUGGGAUGAAGAUGGGCUUAUGUAGCACAAAGAGGAAAAUCUGAAGAGGUCACCAGUUUAGGUGCAAAGCACUUGGCAAAACACGUGCUGUAUCUAAUUAAACUGGAUGCUCCUUCCUGCUCUAGCCAGGCUGAGAGAGAUGGCUAAAUUCCGUAUUGCCUCGAUGUUGCACAGUGAUUCACUGCGGUGUUAGUUAAGCGUUGCACACAUUUCAUAGCCCUUAUUAGGACAGCCUCAUAUCAGCUCGUAUCUCGAAGGAUGUAACUCGUAUCCUGUUUCUUUCUCACUGGCGUGUUUUGUGCUAGGAUGUGCACUGAGAAGUGCUGAGAUCUGAGAGCGGAACAGACCGACUCCAUCAACUGCGCUCUCCAUGUUUAGAGGCAUGACUGCUUGAAGCAAUUAGGCUCACCAAUUAGCAUACUUCUACUGACCCCAGCAACAGCACCGGGUCCUUAUAUUCUCCAUUUCCCAAGGAAGGGGAAGAUGGGAUAAAACAUGCAUCCCAAGCAGAGGCAGCCUUCCCCAGACUCGCUCAGGCUGCUCUAAGCUGACCGGCUUCCCUAGUGCAGAGCCUUCCCCACGCCGACUUCCCAGCCAAGUCGGUCCGGACGAUGCCUGCUCACAAUGCCUGACCCUGGACAGCAGCAGGCAGAUUGCCAGAAUUCGCCGCUUCCCACCUUUCCCCGAGACUUCCAGCAGUAAUAGACAGUAAUAGCCUAAGACAAAUCAGCCCAUUCUUGUAAAAAUAGAAACACAAAAUCCUGAAGUCCCAAGAAAGCCCUAAAGAAGUUCCUCCACCCCCCUGUGCUGUAAAACUGGGUUUUUUUAAAAAAGAAAAUAAA